Vigna radiata var. radiata (mung bean) is the source of this 274-nucleotide long non-coding RNA. RefSeq lists it as uncharacterized. NCBI's taxonomy places the organism in Eukaryota, Viridiplantae, Streptophyta, Magnoliopsida, Fabales, Fabaceae. The record is from RefSeq and is a predicted model, not a curated record. The transcript has 3 exons.
UUGGUCGAACAGCAAGAGCUGGUAGAGGUGGACUGGCUUUGAGCCUUGUCACCCAGAAUGAUGUUAAACUUAUUCAUGAAAUAGAAGCACUUAUUGAGAAACAACUUGAAAUGAUUGAAUACAAAGAAAGUGAGGCGCUUUCUCUCAUGAAAAAGGUUUUCAGUGCUAAGAAUGUAGCAGAAAUGAGAAUGAUAGAUGAUGGCUUUGAGGAGAAGGCUAAAGAGCGGAAAAACCAGAAACUGAAAAUGCUUGCAGAGAAAGGACUGUUGAAGAA